Molecule: transfer-messenger RNA, 140 nt
Filed under: Bacillota bacterium
Lineage: Bacteria; Bacillati; Bacillota
Description: partial transfer-messenger RNA
Rfam family: transfer-messenger RNA
About the family: Bacterial tmRNA, also known as 10Sa RNA or SsrA, is named for its dual tRNA and mRNA-like properties. Its role is to liberate the mRNA from a stalled ribosome.
Source: RNAcentral
UCAAUAAAAGAACUCCAUAGGAUAGUAUAGUAGUCAUUUGUUCGUUUCGAUUAUUGUAUGAAUACAUAAAUGAAAUAAACAUGUAGAAAGUACUUUAGAAAGUGUUUUGCACAGGGGUUCAAAUCCCCUCAUCUCCACCA